GACGAACGCUGGCGGCGUGCCUAAUACAUGCCAGUUGAGCGCUGAAGGUUGGUACUUGUACCAACUGGAUGAGCAGCGAACGGGUGAGUAACGCGUGGGGAAUCUGCCUUUGAGCGGGGGACAACAUUUGGAAACGAAUGCUAAUACCGCAUAAAAACUUUAAACACAAGUUUUAAGUUUGAAAGAUGCAAUUGCAUCACUCAGAGAUGAUCCCGCGUUGUAUUAGCUAGUUGGUGAGGUAAAGGCUCACCAAGGCGAUGAUACAUAGCCGACCUGAGAGGGUGAUCGGCCACAUUGGGACUGAGACACGGCCCAAACUCCUACGGGAGGCAGCAGUAGGGAAUCUUCGGCAAUGGACGAAAGUCUGACCGAGCAACGCCGCGUGAGUGAAGAAGGUUUUCGGAUCGUAAAACUCUGUUGGUAGAGAAGAACGUUGGUGAGAGUGGAAAGCUCAUCAAGUGACGGUAACUACACAGAAAGGGACGGCUAACUACGUG
Molecule: ribosomal RNA, 497 nt
Filed under: uncultured bacterium
Lineage: Bacteria
Description: partial 16S ribosomal RNA
Rfam family: Bacterial small subunit ribosomal RNA
Source: RNAcentral